AUACUACCUGUGAUCAGGGAGAGUAGUGAAUGAAUUAAUCAAUAAAGAGAGUCGGCGCCGGUGAGAAUACGACAUGAUGUUCAUACAUGAAUGGGCCUGUGAGGUGCAGUCCGAAUCGUUAAGAGUAGGCACUGACGGAACUUCAACCGAUAUAAUGAAGCUCGCAUCGCAAAAUGCCGUGCGUUGAGGUGGGCUUAGUCCAAUUAGGGUGGUACCGCGGAAUUUAUCCUUUCGUCCCUUGC
This 242-nucleotide non-coding RNA is filed under the name Dialister micraerophilus. RNAcentral's name for it is "T-box sequence". It matches the Rfam family "T-box leader". From Rfam's summary of the family: Uncharged tRNA acts as the effector for transcription antitermination of genes in the T-box leader family. T-boxes are found upstream of many aminoacyl-tRNA synthetase genes and some amino acid biosynthetic genes usually in Gram-positive bacteria. The record is from RNAcentral. Lineage: Bacteria; Bacillati; Bacillota; Negativicutes; Veillonellales; Veillonellaceae.